GGAAUGAGACACGGCCCAGAUUCUUACGGGAGGGAGCAGUGCGGAAUAUUGGACAAUGGGGGAACCCUGAUCCAGCCAUGCCGCGUGUGUGAAGAAGGCUUUAUGGUUGUAAAGCACUUUAAGCGAGGAGGAGGCUACUUUAGUUAAUACCUAGAGAUAGUGGACGUUACUCGCAGAAUAAGCACCGGCUAACUCUGUGCCAGCAGCCGCGGUAAUACAGAGGGUGCGAGCGUUAAUUGGAUUUACUGGGCGUAAAGCGUGCGUAGGCGGCUUAUUAAGUCGGAUGUGAAAUCCCCGAGCUUAACUUGGGAAUUGCCUUCGAUACUGGUGAGCUAGAGUAUGGGAGAGGAUGGUAGAAUUCCAGGUGCAGCGGUGAAAUGCGUAGAGAUCUGGAGGAAUACCGAUGGCGAAGGCAGCCAUCUGGCCUAAUACUGACGCUGAGGUACGAAAGCAUGGGGAGCAAACAGGAUUAGAUACCCUGGUAGUCCAUGCCGUAAACGAUGUCUACUAGCCGUUGGGGCCUUUGAGGCUUUAGUGGCGCAGCUAACGCGAUAAGUAGACCGCCUGGGGAGUACGGUCGCAAGACUAAAACUCAAAUGAAUUGACGGGGGCCCGCACAAGCGGUGGAGCAUGUGGUUUAAUUCGAUGCAACGCGAAGAACCUUACCUGGCCUUGACAUACUAGAAACUUUCCAGAGAUGGAUUGGUGCCUUCGGGAAUCUAGAUACAGGUGCUGCAUGGCUGUCGUCAGCUCGUGUCGUGAGAUGUUGGGUUAAGUCCCGCAACGAGCGCAACCCUUUUCCUUACUUGCCAGCAUUUCGGAUGGGAACUUUAAGGAUACUGCCAGUGACAAACUGGAGGAAGGCGGGGACGACGUCAAGUCAUCAUGGCCCUUACGGCCAGGGCUACACACGUGCUACAAUGGUCGGUACAAAGGGUUGCUACACAGCGAUGUGAUGCUAAUCUCAAAAAGCCGAUCGUAGUCCGGAUUGGAGUCUGCAACUCGACUCCAUGAAGUCGGAAUCGCU
This 1027-nucleotide ribosomal RNA is filed under the name Acinetobacter baumannii. RNAcentral's name for it is "bacterial SSU rRNA". It matches the Rfam family "Bacterial small subunit ribosomal RNA", at positions 316 to 1336 of the family's 1533-position model. The record is from RNAcentral. Lineage: Bacteria; Pseudomonadati; Pseudomonadota; Gammaproteobacteria; Moraxellales; Moraxellaceae.